RNAcentral lists this ribosomal RNA (40 nucleotides) under Anopheles peryassui. RNAcentral describes it as "partial 28S ribosomal RNA". Lineage: Eukaryota; Metazoa; Arthropoda; Insecta; Diptera; Culicidae. The record is from RNAcentral.
GGACCUCAAAUGAUGUGCGACUACCCCUAAAUUUAAGCAU